RNAcentral lists this ribosomal RNA (404 nucleotides) under Actinomycetes bacterium. RNAcentral describes it as "Actinobacteria bacterium partial 16S ribosomal RNA". It matches the Rfam family "Bacterial small subunit ribosomal RNA", at positions 355 to 776 of the family's 1533-position model. The record is from RNAcentral. Lineage: Bacteria; Bacillati; Actinomycetota; Actinomycetes.
UGGGGAAUGUUGGACAAUGGGCGCAAGCCUGAUCCAGCCAUGCCGCGUGAGUGAUGAAGGCCCUAGGGUUGUAAAGCUCCUUCACCGGGGAAGAUAAUGACGGUAACCGGAGAAGAAGCCCCGGCUAACUUCGUGCCAGCAGCCGCGGUAAUACGAAGGGGGCUAGCGUUGUUCGGAUUUACUGGGCGUAAAGCGCACGUAGGCGGACUUUUAAGUCAGGGGUGAAAUCCCGGGGCUCAACCCCGGAACUGCCUUUGAUACUGGAAGUCUUGAGUAUGGUAGAGGUGAGUGGAAUUCCGAGUGUAGAGGUGAAAUUCGUAGAUAUUCGGAGGAACACCAGUGGCGAAGGCGGCUCACUGGACCAUUACUGACGCUGAGGUGCGAAAGCGUGGGGAGCAAACAGG